UGGUGGGUAGUUUGACUGGGGCGGUCUCCUCCUAAAGAGUAACGGAGGAGCACGAAGGUUGGCUAAUCCUGGUCGGACAUCAGGAGGUUAGUGCAAUGGCAUAAGCCAGCUUGACUGCGAGCGUGACGGCGCGAGCAGGUGCGAAAGCAGGUCAUAGUGAUCCGGUGGUUCUGAAUGGAAGGGCCAUCGCUCAACGGAUAAAAGGUACUCCGGGGAUAACAGGCUGAUACCGCCCAAGAGUUCAUAUCGACGGCGGUGUUUGGCACCUCGAUGUCGGCUCAUCACAUCCUGGGGCUGAAGUAGGUCCCAAGGGUAUGGCUGUUCGCCAUUUAAAGUGGUACGCGAGCUGGGUUUAGAACGUCGUGAGACAGUUCGGUCCCUAUCUGCCGUGGGCGCUGGAGAACUGAGGGGGGCUGCUCCUAGUACGAGAGG
RNAcentral lists this ribosomal RNA (432 nucleotides) under Escherichia coli. Its description in RNAcentral is "partial 23S ribosomal RNA". It matches the Rfam family "Bacterial large subunit ribosomal RNA", at positions 2259 to 2690 of the family's 2925-position model. Lineage: Bacteria; Pseudomonadati; Pseudomonadota; Gammaproteobacteria; Enterobacterales; Enterobacteriaceae. RNAcentral also lists the same sequence under 1 other name. The record is from RNAcentral.